This 160-nucleotide non-coding RNA is filed under the name Alkalibacter saccharofermentans. RNAcentral describes it as "GlcN6P sequence". It matches the Rfam family "glmS glucosamine-6-phosphate activated ribozyme aptamer". From Rfam's summary of the family: This entry contains a glucosamine-6-phosphate activated ribozyme that is found in the mRNA for GlmS. GlmS is an enzyme that uses fructose-6-phosphate and glutamine to generate glucosamine-6-phosphate. RNAcentral also lists the same sequence under 1 other name. Lineage: Bacteria; Bacillati; Bacillota; Clostridia; Eubacteriales; Eubacteriaceae. The record is from RNAcentral.
AAUAUCUAAAAAGCGCCAGAACUCUUUAGCGAGUUGACGAGGUUUGGGGAAUAUCGAAUUUUCGGCGGAUGCCCCAAAAGUGUUAAAUCUUCUUAACAUCAUCUUCAGGACAAAACCACCGGGUGACCGAUGGCACAAAUCCAUUCGAAGUCUUAUAAAU